CAGCAGCCGCGGUAAUACGUAGGGUGCGAGCGUUGUCCGGAAUUACUGGGCGUAAAGCGUGCGCAGGCGGUUUCUUAAGUCUGAUGUGAAAGCCCCCGGCUCAACCGGGGAGGGUCAUUGGAAACUGGGAAACUUGAGUGCAGAAGAGGAGAGUGGAAUUCCACGUGUAGCGGUGAAAUGCGUAGAGAUGUGGAGGAACACCAGUGGCGAAGGCGACUCUCUGGUCUGUAACUGACGCUGAGGAGCGAAAGCGUGGGGAGCGAACAGGAUUAGAUACCCCCGUAGUCCCUGUCUCUUAUAC
Molecule: ribosomal RNA, 301 nt
Filed under: uncultured bacterium
Lineage: Bacteria
Description: partial 16S ribosomal RNA
Rfam family: Bacterial small subunit ribosomal RNA
Source: RNAcentral